Molecule: non-coding RNA, 1207 nt
Organism: Paramisgurnus dabryanus
Lineage: Eukaryota; Metazoa; Chordata; Actinopteri; Cypriniformes; Cobitidae
Source: RefSeq, a predicted model, not a curated record
ACCAAUUAUGCUAAUAAAUUGGCACGUUAGCACGUUAUUGCAAUAUCCCAUAGUACAUACAUGUUAUUAAAACUUGAACUAAUGCAUUGUGAGUCUUAUAAAUUGCUUACAUACCUCACCGAUUUCCCACUGUCUGGAAAACGCUCGGUUUAGUUCCUGUCUCCGCCUCCAAAAAUGUCUAGUGUAAUCGGAUUGGUCAGAUGACUACUCAACUGUUAUUGGUCAGCUGGGUUCGGCGUGUGUUUGAAAGGUUACGCCCCUGACUACGCGUGGGUUGACACAGAUUCUGACUGAGAGUCACAGCCUCAGAGGCAACGUAAACAAGCGUUAUAUUUCUCUAUAAACGAUGGUGUCUGUACUGCCUUACCACUUCGAGCUCGAUCCAGAGAGUUCAGAAGGCCGUUACGAUAUAAACGAUCUCCGUCAAUGAAUGCGAUUGGAUUUAACUUUUUUAGGUGUCCUUAGCUCUGCCAGAAUGCUAAACGAAGACGAAAAUGUGUUGCAAAGACAUCCAAAAGGUUUUAAGGAGAUUGCAACAGGUUCCAGGGCCUCUUACCUGCGUGAUUCAUCAUCCAGGUUUUGCACAAAUUGUCUAAAUCCCUACACACAGAACAUUUAUUGUACCGACUAUAAGCCUUUGAGGCGCAGGACUAGAGUAAGUUUUAUUACAUUUUUAAACCAAUAACACUAAAGUAUUAUUAUAGUAACAAAGUACCCAAAAGAACAAAAGAUGUAACUUUAAAGAAAAUAUAGUAGUCAGUCAAAAGUUUUUUAUUUAUUACAAAUAUAUAUUUAAAUGUUAAACAAUAUACAAAUAAACAUACUUUAGUAACCAUAUUGUGCUCUUCUUUCAAAAAUUGUUCAAUUCACUUCUUACAGCUAUCUAUUCAGAUAAAUGGCAUAUCAAAGCUUUGUCAGCUGAUGCUAUUUAAGACGACACUAUAUGGUUAUCAUCCUGUCGUGUGUUGUUCUCCAGAUACGCUUGGAGCUUCCCGAUCGGAAUGUUGGCUUCCGACGACCCCUGCACUGAAGAUGGCAUGCAAUCACGUCCUCCUUUGAAGGUCUCUCAAACUGUGAUGCCAGGUCCAUUGGAAUCGGGGUUUCCUUCAGCUUAUCUUCAAAUACCUCAGCAAACACAAGCCUGAUCACAUCAUCCACAUAACUGUACAAAUAUUGCAGUCAAUAAAUCUUUUGUUUUGAUAAUUUA